GUACACGCUGUGACUAGCAUAUCAAUAAGCGGAGGAAAAGAAACUAACAAGGAUUCCCUUAGUAACGGCGAGUGAAGCGGGAAGAGCUCAAAUUUGAAAUCUUAAAGGGUUUCCCUUUACGAAUUGUAGUUUAAAGAAGUGUUUUCUGUUGAGGUUUUGGUAAAAGUUCUUUGGAAUAGGACAUCAUAGAGGGUGAGAAUCCCGUAUUUGACCUUUACUUUCAACUUUGUGAUACACUUUCAAGGAGUCGGAUUGUUUGGGAAUGCAGUCCAAAAUGGGUGGUAAAUUUCAGUCUAAAGCUAAAUAUUGGCGAGAGACCGAUAGCGAACAAGUACCGUGAGGGAAAGAUGAAAAGAACUUUGAAAAGAGAGUUAAACAGUACGUGAAAUUGUCAAAAGGGAAGCGUUUGACACCAGUGUUGUUUUUCUGAAAAUCAAUUAAAGAACUGUUUAUGCUAAGUUGUUUAGACUUUAUCAGCUAUCUGUUUAGUUUUGAGCUUUUCUUUAAUGCACUUUUCAGUUAACAAGUCAACAUCAAUUUCUUUUGCUGUAAAAAAGCUUGAGGAAGGUGGCUUGAGAUUCGUCUUAAGUGUUUAUAGCCUCUUGCCUAUGCAGUCGGAGAGAUUGAGGUCUGCAGCGUAGAUCCUUCGGGGCUAAAUGCAUUUGUGCUAAGUUAUAGCAUUUUAUAGACAACUUGUUGACUAUGAUUUGUCUUGUAGCUUACUCGCUUAUGUUAGUUUUACCUACGCUUAGGAUGUUGAGUCGUAGAGCACGCAG
This 776-nucleotide ribosomal RNA is filed under the name uncultured Neocallimastigales. RNAcentral describes it as "partial large subunit ribosomal RNA". It matches the Rfam family "Eukaryotic large subunit ribosomal RNA", at positions 22 to 628 of the family's 3401-position model. Lineage: Eukaryota; Fungi; Neocallimastigomycota; Neocallimastigomycetes; Neocallimastigales. The record is from RNAcentral.